CAUCUAUAUUGGAAAGACUUCAAAUUGUUCCAUUGGUCCUUUCCCCUGUUAGAUAAUAAUAUUCAUUAGGGCACAGAGUUUAUCUAUUUUACGUACAGUUGUUCUCACAGCCUAAAAUGGUGAGCCCCUUAUACAGUUGAUAGUUUGGUGAAUGAGUGUUCUGCCUAUUUGGUAAUACUGUGUUCCAAUAACUAAAAGUUCUGGUUGGGCAAACUGUCAUCAGUGUUCUAUUUUAUUUUAAAAUAUUUAAUUGACUAUAUGAGGUUCAGGUGAAGUGUACAGUCAGUACAUGUAUACAGUGUACAAUGAUCAAAUCAGAAUAAUUAGCAUAUCCAUGACCUCAAAUACAUAUCAAAAAUUUGUGUUGGGAACACUUAAAAUCCUUUCUUGUAGGUAUUUUGGAGUAUACGUCAAAUUAUUAUUAACUCUAGUCACCAUACUGUACUAUAGAAUAUUAAAACAUAUUCCUCCUGUGUAACUGUAUUUUUAUACCUUAUAGUCAACCUGUCUCUGUUCUUUUCUCCCCUCCUCUCUUCUGUACUUCUGUGAGACCAACUUACUUAGUCUCCACAUAUGAAUGUGAACAUGAGGAAUUUGUCUUUGUGUUAGCUUUUUGUCAGUGUGACAAAUACCUGAGAAAAACAACUUUGAGGAGGAAAACUUUAUUUUGGCUCUCAAUUUCAUAGGUCCAUGGUCAGCCCCAUUGCUUUGAACCUAAAUGGAAGUAGAAACCUUGGGAGAAGGACAUAGCAGAGGAAAGCUGCCACCUGGUGGCAGCCAGGAAACAAGAAGAAAGGAGGAAGGUACUGGGGACAAGAUACACUCUGCCAGGGCACAUCCUCAGUGACCUACUUCUUACAACUAGCCCCCAUUUCCUACAGUUUCUACCACCUCCCAAUAAUGCCAUCAAAUUAUUAAUUCACUAAUCCAUUGAUGAGAUUAGGGCCCUCUUGAUCCAGUCACCUCCCAAGAGCCCUAUCUCUGAACACUGCUGUACUGAGGGCCAUGCCUUCAACACAGGAGCUUUGGAGAAUAUUUCAUAUCCAAACCAUAAUAG
Molecule: long non-coding RNA, 1057 nt
Filed under: Marmota monax (woodchuck)
Lineage: Eukaryota; Metazoa; Chordata; Mammalia; Rodentia; Sciuridae
Source: RNAcentral